Long non-coding RNA from Solanum dulcamara, 345 nucleotides. RefSeq lists it as uncharacterized. The record is from RefSeq and is a predicted model, not a curated record. The transcript is spliced from 4 exons. Lineage: Eukaryota; Viridiplantae; Streptophyta; Magnoliopsida; Solanales; Solanaceae.
GAAAAAAAAAAAGAAGAGAAGAGAAGAGAAACUUAGGCUAGAAACAAGGAAAGAGCUACGAUUUUGGGAGGAGAAAAAGGCAGCCCAAAACGUUACCAAACAGUCCCUAAGUUUCAGCUGCGCUAAAGGAAAUUCCGAGGCAAGUUUUGGCGAGUUUUGGUGAAUUUCGGGAAAGGUUCAAGAGACGACGAGGCGAGCAUAGUUAAGAGUAAUCCGUAAGAGGUACAGAUGAUUGGUUUGCUGAUCCGCUCGCUUAGGACAUCCACCAUGUUGGUCGACAGUGCUCCUUUGUUCGGAGUUCUAUUUUGGUACUGACACCUUCUGUUGUAUAUAUAUAUACGUUGU